CCCGAGCGCGGCCGGGCCGAGCAGCGCCGCCACCGUCGGGCGCGCGGCUCUGCAGCGCCGCGAACGGCUCGGCGCCCGCAGCCCGAGGAGCCCGGGCGCCCCGCAUUGUCCCCGGUCCCCGGGACGAGCCGCGGGUUGAUGGCAGUGUUCCAGAUGCUCACUCUGACAGAAGCCUGACUUUCACGUGGUCGGACCACUGUUGA
Dasypus novemcinctus (nine-banded armadillo) is the source of this 203-nucleotide long non-coding RNA. Lineage: Eukaryota; Metazoa; Chordata; Mammalia; Cingulata; Dasypodidae. The record is from Ensembl.